UUUCCGUAGGUGAACCUGCGGAAGGAUCAUUAUCGAUUUGUGAAACUUCAUGCUGCUUCUGGCUCGCCACGUAAGCCAUUUUUACGCUUGUCGCCGCUUAUUUCCCCCCCGGUCCCCACACUGUCGACCCCCCAGUCGGCCUAUAUUGUUUUUCACAAUCACUGCAUGUAUUAGAACUGUUUACAAUCUAGGUCAAUACUAUACAACUUUCAGCAACGGAUUCCUUGGCUCACGCAUCACGGAACAACUCAGCAGAUCGGACGCGCGCACGUCUGA
This 276-nucleotide unclassified non-coding RNA is filed under the name plant metagenome. Its description in RNAcentral is "partial contains small subunit ribosomal RNA, internal transcribed spacer 1, and 5.8S ribosomal RNA". The record is from RNAcentral.